Long non-coding RNA from Esox lucius (northern pike), 1376 nucleotides. The record is from Ensembl. Lineage: Eukaryota; Metazoa; Chordata; Actinopteri; Esociformes; Esocidae.
GGGAAAUGAAACGCAAAUACGUGUGUUUAGGGCGCUGCUGCCAUCUGCUCCAGCCGGCGGUUUGAACACCGGUGAGGUACGUGUAGCGCUAGAGAAGGAGAGAGCACACAGCGCCACACGGAGCAGGCAUCACCUUAGAAAGAUGAGCAUACCGGACACACCUGCAAGCUCCCGCAAUGCAGGCAUGCCCACAAGGUGUGAGGGGUUGGUCAACUGCAAUGGACACAUCCACGUGUGUCCUUACAACUGUGCAGGGAGGGGGUCUGUUGAAACUGGUUUGUAAAUUGAAAUAUCAUCCUUUACAAACAAAAGUCAUUAAUACUAUUUUGCAUGCAAAGACAUAUUAUCUAUGAACUAAAUGUCAGACACUUUGGAUAAAUGCAUCUGCUAAAUGACUAAAAUGUAAAUCACAUUUCAUGUUCAAAGAGAGACGGAUUCUGACUGGAGAAAAGUUGAUAACUUGAUUUAGGCCUGGAAUGAAUUUGACUGUGGCUUAUAGUCAUUGAAGGGACUUGAAGGGAACGUUAGUUGAGAUUACCAUUCAUGGUAAAUGCGAUAAAUGAUGUCUUAAUCUGAAUUAGCUUUUUAAAGCCACAAUGCAUAUCAUUCGUUUUUUGGUCUGAUUGUAAACUCCUUUUCUCGUUUAAGUCCAUGUGAAGUCAACUUAAGACUGUAUAAUGCCCAUUCAGUUUCUAGGAAAGCAAAUUUUCUCAAAUGUUGUUGUUUUUGUCAUACCUUUUUAUCCUUUAUAUAAUUAUAUAGAGCAGUCAUCCCUUCCAUGGCUACAUUGCACAAGGAUAGGCUGGCAAUGUAGCCUUUUUCCAUAGAAACUCUACCCUGGACAUUCUGCUAUGGAUUGCUGUAUGAGUGACACGUUAUUGACUACACGUAGUAGUGCUUUGUGUAAUAGUACUUUGUGUAAUAGUGGUUUGUUUUUAUGGCACAAACAAAAACCCCAACUGUUCAGUGUACCCUGUGUGAAUACCAAAACAGUAUUCAUAUUUUUCUCUCCUCAGCAUUGACUGAUGAGUUUUAUUUUGCAGUCAGUGUGAGGACAUUAUCAGGGGUGAUCCUGAAAUAAUGGUCAACAAGACACCCUCUGAGGAGACACCAAGUUAUGUAAGAAGCAUGAUGUUGAAUUGUAUUUGGACUUCAUUCUACCUGCGACCUGUGACCUGGGUAACUGUCAGUUUGAUGCCAUUCUGGGCCAGAGACAUCAUAUCUGUAACAUUUUGACUUGAUGCAGUCUGUACAGCACCACUAGCCAGGAUAACAGGAGAACAAUAUGUAAUAAAUGGUCUUGCAUUUAUAAAAGCUUGUUUUUUUCAACUUUUGUUAAGUGGUCAGCCAGAAGUGAAAAUAAAACUAGUUUGAAU